CAGCCGCCACGGGAAUACGGAGGGUGCAAGCGUUAAUCGGAAUUACUGGGCGUAAAGCGCACGCAGGCGGUCUGUCAAGUCGGAUGUGAAAUCCCCGGGCUCAACCUGGGAACUGCAUUCGAAAAUGGCAGGCUAGAGUCUUGUAGAGGGGGGUAGAAUUCCAGGUGUAGCGGUGAAAUGCGUAGAGAUCUGGAGGAAUACCGGUGGCGAAGGCGGCCCCCUGGACAAAGACUGACGCUCAGGUGCGAAAGCGUGGGGAGCAAACAGGAUUAGAUACCCGAGUAGUCCCUGUCUCUUAUAC
RNAcentral lists this ribosomal RNA (301 nucleotides) under uncultured bacterium. RNAcentral's name for it is "partial 16S ribosomal RNA". It matches the Rfam family "Bacterial small subunit ribosomal RNA", at positions 509 to 807 of the family's 1533-position model. The record is from RNAcentral.